GACGAACGCUGGCGGCGUGCUUAACACAUGCAAGUCGAACGGAAAGGCCCUGCUUUUGUGGGGUGCUCGAGUGGCGAACGGGUCAGUCACACGAGAGUCACCUGACCUUGACUUUGGGAUCAUUUCAGGAAACUGGGGAUACUACGGGUUAGGAGCUCCUGCUGUAUGGUGGGGGUUGGAAAGUUUCGGCGGAUGGGGAUGGACUUGCGGAUUAUCAGGUUGUUGGUGGGGUAGUGGCUUACCAAGGCUUUGACGGGUGGGCGGCCUGAAAGGGUGACCGGCCACAUUGGGACGGAGAUACGGCCAAGACUCCGACGGGAGGCAGCAGUGGGGAAUAUUGCACAAUGGGCGGAAGCCUGAUGCAGCAACGCCGCGUGCGGGAUGACGGCCUUCGGGUGGUAAACCGCUUGCGCCUGUGACGAAGCGUGAGUGACGGUAAUGGGUAAAGAAGCACCGGCUAACUACGUG
This 468-nucleotide ribosomal RNA is filed under the name uncultured bacterium. RNAcentral's name for it is "partial 16S ribosomal RNA". It matches the Rfam family "Bacterial small subunit ribosomal RNA", at positions 28 to 507 of the family's 1533-position model. The record is from RNAcentral.